RNAcentral lists this ribosomal RNA (466 nucleotides) under uncultured bacterium. Its description in RNAcentral is "bacterial SSU rRNA". It matches the Rfam family "Bacterial small subunit ribosomal RNA", at positions 28 to 507 of the family's 1533-position model. The record is from RNAcentral.
AAUGAACGUUGGCGGCGUGGAUUAGGCAUGCAAGUCGCGCGAGAAGUUUCCUGCUUGCAGGAAAUGGACAGCGGCGAAAGGGAGAGUUACGCGUGGGUACCUGCCCUCGGGACUGGAAUAGCUGCGGGAAACUGCAGGUAAUGCCGGAUAAUGUCCCUGGACCAAAGGUGUUAGUCGCCCGAGGAUGGGCCCGCGUCCUAUUAGCUUGUUGGUGGGGUAAUGGCCUACCAAGGCUGCGAUGGGUAGCGGGCGUGAGAGCGUGGCCCGCCUCACUGGGACUGAGACACUGCCCAGACACCUACGGGUGGCUGCAGUCGAGAAUCUUCGGCAAUGGGCGAAAGCCUGACCGAGCGACGCCGCGUGUGGGAUGAAGGCCUUCGGGUUGUAAACCGCUGUCAGAGGGGAGGAAAUGCUUGGUAACCCCAAGUUUGACCUAUCCUCAGAGGAAGUCCGGGCUAAGUUCGUG